AUUGAACGCUGGCGGCAGGCCUAACACAUGCCAGUCGAACGGUAACAGAAAGCAGCUUGCUGCUUUGCUGACGAGUGGCGGACGGGUGAGUAAUGUCUGGGAAACUGCCUGAUGGAGGGGGAUAACUACUGGAAACGGUAGCUAAUACCGCAUAACGUCGCAAGACCAAAGAGGGGGACCUUCGGGCCUCUUGCCAUCGGAUGUGCCCAGAUGGGAUUAGCUAGUAGGUGGGGUAACGGCUCACCUAGGCGACGAUCCCUAGCUGGUCUGAGAGGAUGACCAGCCACACUGGAACUGAGACACGGUCCAGACUCCUGCGGGAGGCAGCAGUGGGGAAUAUUGCACAAUGGGCGCAAGACUGAUGCAGCCAUGCCGAGUGUAUGAAGAAGGCCUUCGGGUUGUAAAGUACUUUCAGCGGGGAGGAAGGGAGUAAAGUUAAUACCUUUGCUCACUGACGUUACCCGCAGAAGAAGCACCGGCUAACUCCGUG
This 490-nucleotide ribosomal RNA is filed under the name uncultured bacterium. Its description in RNAcentral is "partial 16S ribosomal RNA". It matches the Rfam family "Bacterial small subunit ribosomal RNA", at positions 30 to 507 of the family's 1533-position model. The record is from RNAcentral.